RNAcentral lists this ribosomal RNA (229 nucleotides) under uncultured bacterium. RNAcentral describes it as "partial 16S ribosomal RNA". It matches the Rfam family "Bacterial small subunit ribosomal RNA", at positions 143 to 353 of the family's 1533-position model. The record is from RNAcentral.
AUAGGANACAGAAGAAGCUGCUAAUACCGAAUAAGUUCCAAGAGCCGCAUGGCCCAUGGAAGAAAAGGUGGCCUCUACCUGUAAGCUAUCGCCUGAAGAGGGGUUUGCGUCUGAUUAGCUGGUUGGAGGGGUAACGGCCCACCAAGGCGACGAUCAGUAGCCGGUCUGAGAGGAUGAACGGCCACACUGGAACUGAGACACGGUCCAGACUCCUACGGGAGGCAGCAUG